Molecule: long non-coding RNA, 357 nt
Organism: Micropterus salmoides (largemouth bass)
Lineage: Eukaryota; Metazoa; Chordata; Actinopteri; Centrarchiformes; Centrarchidae
Exons: 3
Source: RefSeq, a predicted model, not a curated record
AAAAAGAGAGAAAACCAGGACACUCACCGUCAGCCCGGCUGCCACCACAACAGAUUCUUUUUAACUUACCGUAUGCUACGUAACUUUGGUUGACUGUUUGAACAUGAAUGGAUGAGCGAGUUUGGUGUGGAGAACAUGACUGAGUCCUGACCCCAACCCGACAGAACACCUUUGGGAUAAAUUAGAGAAAUUCCCUUGAACACACUCCUAAACCUUGUGGAAAGGUUCCCUUCCCAGAACAGUUGAAGCUGUAAUAGCUGCAAAGGAUGGGCCAACUCCAUAUUAAACCCUAAAGUUAAGUUUCUAGAAGAAGAGCCUUAUAUCCAGUCCGGUUCCUUGGGAGAGAAUCCUGCACCC